CGCCGGUUUUUAUAUCCGCCCUCGUCGCACGGACCCAGCUCGCCGCCGCCCUCACCACACGAGCCCAGCUUGCCGCCGCCCCCGCCGCACAGCCUCAGCUCGCCACCGCGCCUGCUCCAUUGUUCGGUUCCGGCGAGCUCUCUGCACUUGGGCCCGCGGCUACUACCCAUCCAAUUGCAUCGAGCAGCUACCUUGCCCGAUGGAUUCGGCGGCGGCGACGUCCUCGCCAUACUUGCAGCACCAAUCUACAGCUGGCAGCAUCGGCGGCAGUGUCCAUGGCGGCGUCAUAUCCGCGGCAUCGACAGCAUCCCUCCACAGAGCCCCUCAACAUGAUUCGAUGGUAGUAGUGGCACCCUCACCUUAUAUGUACGAGGAGAAUCGCUCACCUCAACUAUCCCCUAGCAUGAUCCAAGACCUAACGAAGAUUGUUUGAUUCUGAUCUUUUUGCUCAUGGAGAUCUGGAAUCUAUUUACAGGGAGAUGCAAGUUGAGUGCAAAAUAGCAGUACAACACUGUUGCAGCAACACGGCAUGAUCUCAUCUGCCAUUAAAAUCGAUCUAUGUUCUGCUCGCAUGGGUAAUUCUCUAUCUUUCCCUUGUUCAAUGAAAUGAGCCUGGAGGUUGUUUAGCUUACUAGAUAUAGCUUAUUUGUAACAUUUAUAGAUUACUGCAAGGGACCUUUUUGCCUCAUAUUAGUUAUGCUUUGUAAUUGUUUUUUAUUUUCAGUCAACUUAGACCUGUUCACCUGUCCAGUUCCUGAUUGUUGAAUUGGUGUCCCUUCUUCCCUUCAUGGCUCUAAAGUUGAGUAUUAUGAUGUUUCUCCAGGAAGCCAUUUUAUUGUAGAAUAUUUUUAGAAGAAACCAGCCAUUUUAUUGUAGACUAUUUUUAGAUGAAACAAUUUAACUGUAAACUAUCAGGCUAUCUCUCCUAUUUUGGUUCUAAGUGUCACCAGCUAGAUAUGUUGGGAAAAAUAUACUCCAUCUGUCCCAUAAAAAGUGUCAUUCUAGGAUUCAAAUUUUGUCCCUUUGAAAGUGUUGUUUGCCUACCUAUAGGAACUGUACCAGCAGCUGUCCACCUGCACUCACCCAUCACCCACUCACUCGCCAGCACGUAGCCUGUUAGUGGCAGCAGCUUCUUCAUUUACAGUACUUCAGCUUAUGUAAUUAUUGGAUAGUAGAGGCAUGCAGGCAUUUUACUCUUCUCCUUGAUAUAAGCACCAGCCUCCCAAACGACCAUAUAUAUGGCAUAGAGGUAGUAUUUGCUGCAGACAGUUUGAUAAUACUAGGAUUGUUCUAGAAAACAGGUCGUUGUAGAAAUCCUAGCCUGCUACAUGACAAUAAAAAUAUUAUUUAGAAACACAUCUGUAGUAUGAUUCAUCGAUAAAAUUGUAAUUGGGUGAAUUCACUUAUUCAGUUAACUACUGAUGCUGAGGCACAAGAUUUAGUGCUAUGAUUAAUUUAUAAUAUUAUAAGUGUUGCUGUUGUGAUAUAGUAACUGUGGUGGAUUAAUUAGCAGCUCCUUUUUUGCUUGACUCGAUGCAUAAGCAUGGAAAUUAAAACUUGAAACUUGAUCAUCACUGCAGCUAGAGUUUGGUAAAUUUUUAUUGAAGAUCUAGCUAUCCAAGUAGUAUGCCUCGGAGACUUCACUUAUUCAGCUUAUGCCUUCCCUGACCUGUCAACCAAACUGACUCUUGUCAUGGCUUGUUGGGAUUUUGUAAUGUCGGUUCUGAAUGAGAAGGGGUUGUAGGCUGAUGCCCAAGUGAGACAUUCUGUGGCAGAUCCAGAAACAACUCAAAGGGGGGGGGGGGCUAAAAAUAGUGCAAGGUAUUUUUAUGGCACAUCAGGUAGGGCUAAAUCUAUAUUUUUAUGAGUUAUCUUAGGCUAGACAAAAGAACUGUUAAAUGGAUUUCUGGGCUGCGCCCCGGGCCUGGAUCCGCCCCUGGAGACAUUAGUUUUUCCAUGUUUGUGUGCCUCAGGUAAUUUUGUCUUCCUCCUAUCUUCCCCUCAUGGACUGUCUUCCUUGUAAAAUUCAAGUGUUUCAUUCUCCAAAAGAUCAUCUUUUAUUAAAUGAGUCCAUUCUUUCAAAUGUCAUGCGGGUAUUUUUGUUCAGCUUAUGUUGGGGAAUUGCAACACAGGACUAUCAUGUGCUCUGCAUGCUAUUACUAAUUGAAUUCUGGACUCAAACAUGUUCCCAUGAGGUUAAAAUAUUGUAUAUGCUCUGAAUUGUCAAUUCAAAUUGAAACUUUACUUUAAUUUCAUCUUUUUGUUUUUGAGAUGCCAUCAAAACCAGAUGUGUGCUCUGCUUCCUUGGAUACUUCUGUUCUCUGGCUUUUUCCUUGUUGCGUGAAAGGAGCCUGCAGAUUGUUUACCUCACAUAGAUAUAACUUAUUUAUAUUUAUUGUUCACAGAUUACUGCAGGCUGUAGAGCGAGGAUUGAUGAGGAGUCAGACAUUUAUUUAUGUCUUUUGACUUUCAGUUUAGUUGUCCAUCUUCUUACCUGUUUUUAUUUUAUUUUAUUUUCAGCUUACAUUUUCAAGACCUGAACUCCUCUCUUGUUUAAUCUAAUGAACUGCUAAUCAUAUUAUUGUUUUAUCUUCUAGCUAUCGCCCACUUGAGAAUGCUUCAGUACGAAUAUGAAAUGUGUUUCAGUAGGAACACUAGAUUCUGAUCUCAUAUCUUGUUCUUUAUUUUAGACACUCACAACAGUCUUAUUCUGUGAUCCUGUUCAUUAAUAUUUUUUAGUUAAGUAAACAUCUCCAAGUAUGUGGUUAGAAAUAAAUUUGGUCACAAGGGGUUGUGGAUGCUCAAUAAGCUAUUUCCCGAGCCACCAAAAACAACCUCGGCGCCUCCCUUUGGUGUGUUUCCACUGCCCCUCUUUUCUUCUUUCUUCUUAUGUUAGUUUUUUCCUCAAGUUUCCAAUUAUGUCCCGGGAGAAGAGGGCGGUUCCUCCAGUUAUCUCGCCUGGUAGAUGCAGUUCAUUUCUCAUGGUGCAUAUAGUCUACCUCUCCCGCAUGUUCACCGUGUAUUUGGCAGUGGCGGUACCAGCUUCCAUCCUACUCCAAUCAUCCAUUCAACUUCUGCAACUCUCUUUUACCAAUUCCCUCGUUUGGCCUGUUUGACCUAUUCGAUGGCUAUGACAGUCCCUUAUCUGUUUAGCUCCCCAGUAGCUUUUGACAACCCUUUUUGCUAAGUCCUUCCUAAACAAAAAAAAAUCUGUUACGUUAGCACAAAAUGUUUUUAUCACCCUUUAUGUGUGUUGAUUUUUCAUAUUAUGCACUAUUCAUUCUAUGUUCAGUUAUUCUUUCAUAAGCCUCUACUGCCCUAUCCACAAGUUAUGUUAUUUGACCCACAAAUAUAUUUUCUGGUGCCCUUAAUCAACUAAAGCCCUCUUGCAUAUACCCCUUUAUUCUAGCGUCUUCAUAGUCGUUCUACAGGUAGUUGGUAGCCUAGUUGAACCUUUAAUCAUGUGACUAGAGAUGUAAGUGCGAUGGAUAUUUGGGAUAGCAGCAGGCUUGCAGUGUAUGUUAUCGACCCAAGUUCUACUGUUUUGAAGCUCGUAUAUACACCUGACCAUGUGAGACCUGUCCAGUGGAUAUUUUGGAAGGGGCUGCAGUAGUCUUAUGUCUGGCCAUCUUGCUUACUAUAGAGUAUUCACAACCAUAUAUCACUUUUCUUCUUCCUAGUUCACUAGCUUCCUUUCUUAUGUGCUCAUCAGCUUAACCUUGGGCAUGAACUGAUCUAGGAGGUUACAGGUUGAAGGGCAUUGUGAAUUUGUGAUGUAGACUGAGUCUUAUAGGUUACAGGUUUAUUUGUGGUGUUAUUUGCUUAUUGUAGACAAUCCAUCUGUCCUCUGCUCGUACCGCUCGCCCUAGUGCCCUGCUCCUGUUGCUAAUGCCUCUCACUCAACAUGUCCUACAUGCCGAGGUAAGACUGGCCUUGAGGUUCUUUAAUUUAUUUUGUGCAUUAGUUUGUUAAUUAAGAGACAUCGAAUUGUCAACUAAGGAACAUAAGAAAAGAUUUCUGGUCUAUUUUAUGGAAGGAAUAAGUUCAUGUGCUACUGUAUUUUUAUUUGUGAAUAUAGAUAUAUAGGGAUUAUCUAGGCAAGAUGAAAUAUGCUAGUGCAUUCACAAAUUAGUGCUCAUGUAUGAAGAUCCACUUGCAAACUUUCUUAUGAUUUUCUUUUAGAUUUUUCAGUCAUGCAGAUCCAACUAAUCUGUAGCUUCCAAGUUUGCUACGCUGGACCGACAGAGUUGGGUUGAGAACAGUUCAGGAAAUACCAUUUUUCUGAGUAUUCAUAUGUGAUAUCUUUACAUCUAAAUUAUAUUUUUUAGAUGCUCAAUUAUGAAUGGGCAUGGCAUAGAGAAGAGUACAAAAUCAACUAGUAUUGUUGAUUGCAUUUUAGGGUAAGCUAAACAUGUAUAACUGUUUGGUGGCGCCUCCCAGCUUUAGUUGCUUUUCUUUGCUAUAUUUUAUACUUCCUUUUUCCCAUUAAAAAUGUUGAUUCAUUGAUGUUCAGUAAGUUAUUUAAGAAAGCACAAAGUAGCACCUGAGUUUGUAGGAUAAUGUCUCUUUUUUUGUCUACUGCAGAACUGGAUGUUAAGUCUAGAUAGCAACUUUUCUUGCCUAUUCGGUUUUGAUUAUUUACAUCUAGCAUUCUAAUUUCCCUCUCAAGCCAAAUUUAUGUUUUUCUUUUUUGCAGGAAAGAAGCCUUCUUGUGUGGAUGGAUGCUUUUAGUUGAUUAGCACAGAUGUACAUGUCGCCGUGGCCUACCCUCUAAACUAUUUUUUUUUCUCGAAAAACGCAGGAGAUCUGCAUCUCAUUGUACUAAGAAGAAAAAGGGGUAUAAGAACCCAGAACUUACAAUACACCACCACACCACACACACACUACACAAGCCAAAACAGCCAAGACACAGAUGCAUCUAAGCUGGCAGCAAGGCGACCCACAUCGACCUCAGGAAUUAAUCACCUGGGAGAUGGGCAGUCAAGAGGGAAAGCCCUCGAGCCCCUGCAGUGCUCCACAUCCGGCGCUCCUCACCAGCCACUACUAAAGCCCCAGCCACACUUGGAGCUGAUCCAUCAAAAAUGCAGCGAUUGCGAUGAUUCCAAAGAGUCCAGGCACCCAGAAUAAUUAGGGAGUUCACCCCUUGCCUCACCAAAUUAGUUGUAGCAUUAUCGGCUCUCUCCCACCAGUCCAGGAAGGAGUUAUCGGUAGGUUGGGGAGAUAGGAUCUGGAGACCGACCUGCCUAAGCAUAAAAAACCAAAACUCCCUAGCGAAGACACAUUCCACCAGGAGAUGGUUGAUUGAUUCUUCUGCUUGAUCACAAAACGGGCAGCGAUCUGGGUGUGGCAAGCCACGACGUGCAAGACGGUCGGACGUCCAACACUUAUUGUGGGACACUAACCACAUGAAAAAACGACAUUUUGGUGGCGCCCAUGUCUUCCAAAUUCUUUCCCAUGGCCCAAAGAGAGUAGCUCCAAGGAAGAACCCCUCAUAAGCCGCCUUAGCUGAAUAUUUGCCAUUAGAUGAAAGCCUCCAGAUAUGAUUAACCUCUCUUUCUGGUUGUAGAUCAAUGCCUGAAAGGAUGUCCCACAACUGAAACACAUCAAGUAACACUCCAACAGUUAUAGCUCCUUGUAUAUCUGCAAUCCAAGCCCGGUUAUUAAGCGCUUCCUUGACUGUACGCUUUUUGAUCCUUCUUUUAGAGAUGACGGCAAAUAGUUGAGGGGCCAGCUCUGCUAUACACUGUCCAUGCAGCCACCUGUGAGCCCAAAAAAGGGUAUGUUCACUAUCACCUACUUCAGUAACAACAGCCAUUGCAAAGAAGGACUUCACCUGAUUAGGGACUUCUAUCGGGAGAUGCGCCCAGGGGCGGUUUGGUUCUGUUUUCUGCAGCCAUAGCCACCUCAUUCUCAAUGCCCAACUAAGGGUUUUUAAAUCUGAAAUUCCUAGCCCGCCCAGUUCAGUUGGGCGGCAAACUUUUGGCCAUGCUACAAGACAAUGUCCACCUCGCGCUUCCUUUCGACCACGCCAAAGAAAAGCACGCCUUAUUUUGUCAAUUGCUUUAAUAGCCCAAGCUGGAAGAUCAGAUGCCAUGACAAUGUAUAUAAGCAUACCAGUGAGCACAAAUUGAACCUGAAUUCUUCUUCCUGCCCUUGUCAUCAACUCUGCCUUCCAUCCUGGCAGUUGAUCAGCAAUGCCGUCAAUAAUGGGUUGCACUUGAUUCUUAGUUAACUUUUUCAACGACAGAGGCAAACCUAAGUAUCUGCAUGGGAACUCAGAAAGGGAACAGGGCAGCAGGUUUUGAGUGAUUGCCAGAUCCGAGUCAUCACAACUAAUUGGCAGCACACUGCUCUUUUGAAGGAUGCAUUCGGGGUUGUCUAACCUGUGCUUUCCAUAGGGUGGUUCGUCCUGUUUGCUGCCCUGCUCUGCUUCUGCUCUCUAUACAGUGCUACUGCUGCAGUAUUCUUCAUAUACGGGAAUGUUACAAAGAUCAGUCUAGUAGCCACUAGAAUUGUAUUAAAGUUACAAAAUUUCAAGUUACUUUGGUAACAAAUAUGUUUGUCACCAACUUUUAUGCUUUGAUCCUAGACAAACAUAGAAAAUGCUGCACUUACUUUGAUUUGACAAUUUUAUUGUUCUUUAUGAACAAGUACUUAACAGUUUGAAAACUAAAAAAUGUUAUUCUUGACAGGGAUUAAUAAUUGAAAACAUAGCAUGAUUUUGUA
Sorghum bicolor (sorghum) is the source of this 6726-nucleotide long non-coding RNA. RefSeq lists it as uncharacterized. The record is from RefSeq and is a predicted model, not a curated record. The transcript has 5 exons. NCBI's taxonomy places the organism in Eukaryota, Viridiplantae, Streptophyta, Magnoliopsida, Poales, Poaceae.